CUCAAAACACCUGUGUGCAGCUGCUCUCUGAUGAACUCUGAACUCUGAGUGAAGUAACGUCAGUGCUAAAAAGUUAUUGAAAAAGUGACUCUCUCCCUUUUAUUUAGGCUACUAAAACAGUGCAAAGUUAGGAAAAUAUGUUGGUUCCUUUUUGCAGGACUAUUGUACUUAUUCCACUGUGUGACCUGAUUCAGCCCACGGGAAGAGUUUAGGGACCCAAAACGACAGGCUGUAAUCGGAGUAGGAAAAGGGGAAGAGAUAGAGGGCAGCCAUCUUGGAUUUCCAAUUCCUCUGAAUGAAGCAUUUCACUUGCCCUGGCAGACCUUAUUCAAGUGCACAGAUAUUUGGCACACUGGGAGUGGCCGUUGUACUCAGCCAGGUCUGCUCCUGUGAAGCCGUCCUGGUCCCUGACGCCCAGGUCCACCCCAUUGACCACAAGGAUCUGACAGCACUGGAGAGGGACAUGAGAGACACGCAGAGAGAGGUCUCAACCUGACGCUGAACGGCUUCUGACUGAAGAACAACAACAACAACAACUCAAAGCUUUAAAGAGCGCUGGUUUUAGCCGUUUCUAUGCUGUUACAUGAACAACAACAAGCAUCAGUUUCAACCACCAUUUAUUUUUUCUUUUAAGGGUGAGGGAAUGAAUGGAGGUGUACAGUACAUACAGUAUUCCUAUUCUGUAUAUAUCCCUGAAGACUAAACAUGUCUAUUUAUAAAUCACAAGAUUUGAAAGUUUAAGGACCAUCGUCAGUAUCCUAGGUAAGUAAGAAACAAUGGUAAUGGAGCCAGAGGAGUAAUAUUCAGAGAUUUAAAUCACAAAUUUGGUUCUUUAAUUAUUAUUAUUUUACCUACAAUGGCCAUAAUAGUUUCUUACUGGAGGUUUAGACGGAUAACUUUCUAGAACAACCUAAUGCAGAGGUUGACCCUUCUCAACUGCGUCUUUGAAUUAUGGCUUGGCCAAAGAUCUGAAUCUACACUAAUUGAUUACAUAACCUGUCUGUGGCCUCGUGCUCUCUGUCGUUCUGUCUCGCUCUUCAUUCAUUCACUCUUUUGUUUCCUGAGGCUAUCAGCAGCGGUGCAGCACAUGAGCCUGUUGGUUUUGGAUCUCUGGGAUGGAUGGGCAAAUGAGCAACCCAUUCAGAUGUAGCUUACAAAUCUAACAAACACUGAAAUCAGGGGAAACAAAGCCGCAUCUGUGCAUUUCCAGUUGUAACACAAAAAGACAGCGAUUGAUCAAUGAGUCCAACACUGCAGACAGCUGAAUACUGCUGCCAUUUUAUUGAAAGACCUCUCCCCAUGAGUGCGUACUUAUACUUAACAUCUUCUGACCUUUGCAAGUCAUUCUAAAGAAAACACAUUUGUUGAGUAGAUCCUUGCAUUUUCUAUCAUGAAAAGGUCAUACUGGAUAAAGAUAAACAACACAAAUAUAUCUGUACUAUGCCUUAAUCCCCCCACCAGCUUUAAAAAUCUAUAUUGGUCAAAGCAGAAAGUAUGAAGUCUUGAAAUAGAUGGUUUAUGGAGAAUGAUACUGAAAUAGAACUUUAAACCAUUGGUUUAGUGUAAUGCAGCAAAGGACUUAAAAUGUAGUUGUAGUUUGUUAACCGUUAAUAAGGAGGAGAGGUUUCAUGUAGUACUCGUCGUUUUUCAAACAGACGCAACUUGGAGACAUCCAAUCUCCUCUUAACACUAGCGGAUACAAAUGUGCAUCUUGUAAUAAACCCUGAAACAAGAAAGCUAUCUCUCCUCUGCAAAGUUCAAUUCUGAACAAUGCCUGAGGCAGCAACUAGAAAGCAGCUCGUCUAUUCAAAAGGAUUUGUUUUCCUCAUUACCUUAUCGCCGGUUGGCGCUACUGCGUGUCGCCGUGGAGAUGGUGGUAAACAGUAACAGUGCGAGUGGUGGUGGAGGAGAGUGAAUGGGGCCCUGCUAUCAGGGAGCUACCAUGUCCCUGAGGAUCAUUAAAUUUUCAGCAGCUAUGCACCUGUCUGAGGUGCAACCACACAUUAUUGGAGGUGCAGAGCACGAGGUUAGGCCUGACAAGCUGCUCAUCCUGAUCAGGUCAUCGAUGUCAUCACGCUGGGCUGCUUAGAUAAAGACUAGGUUGUAAAUUAAUGAUAUUUCUUUAUGGCAGCUGUGAGUAAUCCGUGUUGAAUAUA
Molecule: long non-coding RNA, 2156 nt
Organism: Eleginops maclovinus (Patagonian blennie)
Lineage: Eukaryota; Metazoa; Chordata; Actinopteri; Perciformes; Eleginopidae
Exons: 4
Source: RefSeq, a predicted model, not a curated record